UACGUAGGGUGCGAGCGUUGUCCGGAAUUAUUGGGCGUAAAGAGCUCGUAGGCGGUGUGUCGCGUCGGCCGUGAAAACCUGCAGCUUAGCUGUGGGCUUGCGGUCGAUACGGGCAUCACUGGAGUUCGGCAGGGGAGACUGGAAUUCCUGGUGUAGCGGUGAAAUGCGCAGAUAUCAGGAGGAACACCGAUGGCGAAGGCAGGUCUCUGGGCAUUAACUGACGCUGAGGAGCGAAAGCAUGGGGAGCGAACAGG
Molecule: ribosomal RNA, 254 nt
Filed under: uncultured bacterium
Lineage: Bacteria
Description: partial 16S ribosomal RNA
Rfam family: Bacterial small subunit ribosomal RNA
Source: RNAcentral